UGGCGGCAAUAGCGCGGUGGUCCCACCUGACCCCAUGCCGAACUCAGAAGUGAAACGCCGUAGCGCCGAUGGUAGUGUGGGGUCUCCCCAUGCGAGAUUAGGACACUGCCAGGUA
This 115-nucleotide ribosomal RNA is filed under the name Yersinia enterocolitica. The record is from RNAcentral. Lineage: Bacteria; Pseudomonadati; Pseudomonadota; Gammaproteobacteria; Enterobacterales; Yersiniaceae.